UACGUAGGGGGCUAGCGUUGUCCGGAAUCAUUGGGCGUAAAGAGCGCGUAGGCGGCUAGAUAAGUCCGGUGUGAAAGUCACAGGCUCAACCUGUGAAUGCCGCUGGAAACUGUCUGGCUAGAGUCCGGAAGGGGCGAGUGGAAUUCCUGGUGUAGCGGUGAAAUGCGCAGAUAUCAGGAAGAACACCCGUGGCGAAGGCGGCUCUCUGGAACGCAACUGACGCUGAGGCACGAAGGCCAGGGGAGCAAACGGG
RNAcentral lists this ribosomal RNA (253 nucleotides) under uncultured bacterium. RNAcentral's name for it is "partial 16S ribosomal RNA". It matches the Rfam family "Bacterial small subunit ribosomal RNA", at positions 524 to 776 of the family's 1533-position model. The record is from RNAcentral.